UUCCCCCUUAGUUCAGUUGGUAGAACGGCGGACUGUUAAUCCGUAUGUCGCAGGUUCGAGUCCCGCAGGGGAGGCCA
RNAcentral lists this transfer RNA (77 nucleotides) under Vibrio neptunius. RNAcentral describes it as "tRNA-Asn". It matches the Rfam family "tRNA". From Rfam's summary of the family: Transfer RNA (tRNA) molecules are approximately 80 nucleotides in length. Their secondary structure includes four short double-helical elements and three loops (D, anti-codon, and T loops). The record is from RNAcentral. Lineage: Bacteria; Pseudomonadati; Pseudomonadota; Gammaproteobacteria; Vibrionales; Vibrionaceae.